This 599-nucleotide small RNA is filed under the name Plasmodium reichenowi. The record is from RNAcentral. Lineage: Eukaryota; Apicomplexa; Aconoidasida; Haemosporida; Plasmodiidae.
AAAAAAAAAAAAAAAUACAUAUAUAUAUUAUAUAUAUAUAUACAUUUAUCAUAUAUAUUUAUGAACCUUCUUAUAUAUACAUAUCUGAAAGCAAAAGUAUAUAUAUUAUAUUUUUAUAUUUUAUAUCACACCUUGGAAGAACUAUUAAAAAUGAACUAUAUUUUAUAAUGUCUUAGGUUUGUAAGCUUCUGAAGCUAAAAAUUGUAUAUUAUUUAUAUUACACGAAAAAAAUGAAAUUAAAAAUAAGAAAUGAGAAAAAGUCUUAAUUAUAUAGGUAUAAAUAAAUUUAUGUAUAUAUGUAUAUAUAUAUAUAUAUAUACAUAUAUAUUUUAUAUUUAUAAUAAUGUUAAUUCAAAUUGUUAAUUUAUAAUAUCUACAGGAAAGGAAAAACAAAAAUAAAAAUUAAUAGUAAAAAUUAUAUAAAUAAUGUGUCUGUUAUGGAAGGUUCAUUAUACAAUAAUGUUUAUUAGGACGUCAUUUUUAAAUUAGUUCUUUAUUUAAUUACUAUCACUAAAAGCAUAGAAAGUUUGUAAUCUGGUAAAAACUAUUUAAAGAAGGAAACUGAAAAAAAAGAAAAUUUAUGUAGCUUAAAAAAAAAA